CUCGAUUUGAUAUACUAAUGAUGAUCGCAUGAUUAUCGAAACGAUAAAAUGACUGAAGAUUUUUUUUUUGAGAGGAUCAUUAAUGCCUGCAAUUGAAAUGACCAUAGAAUCAAGGCUCAAAUUCAUGACAGCAGAUAUGCUCACUCCCAUCAUCCAACAUAUCAAGUCAUUUUGGACUUGGGAGUGGGAGACAACUGUUGGGACAAUCGGAUCUGCUCUCCUCGAUACAGGGUUGGUUCUCCGACUCAACAUUGGCCACAGAUGUCGGACCAUCAAAAAUAACUACCAGAGGAGUUACUGGUUUGACUAUUGCAUCUACAGGGUUCAUCACCCCGACAUUCUAUCGCUGUCACGGAACAUGAAGAAUGGCCGACUAUCUAUUGGUAAGCCGACUUCCUAUCAGUAACCCCCGAUCAUCUUCUCAAGCGGCAACUUAUCCAAACGACUUGAUACACUAUACUACUGAUGACUCUUCGAUACAA
This 482-nucleotide long non-coding RNA is filed under the name Elaeis guineensis (African oil palm). RNAcentral's name for it is "long non-coding RNA (EGUI_LNC007894)". Lineage: Eukaryota; Viridiplantae; Streptophyta; Magnoliopsida; Arecales; Arecaceae. The record is from RNAcentral.